This 497-nucleotide ribosomal RNA is filed under the name uncultured bacterium. RNAcentral describes it as "partial 16S ribosomal RNA". It matches the Rfam family "Bacterial small subunit ribosomal RNA", at positions 28 to 507 of the family's 1533-position model. The record is from RNAcentral.
GAUGAACGCUGGCGGCGUGCCUAAUACAUGCAAGUCGAGCGAACAGACGAGGAGCUUGCUCCUCUGACGUUAGCGGCGGACGGGUGAGUAACACGUGGAUAACCUACCUAUAAGACUGGGAUAAUUUCGGGAAACCGGAGCUAAUACCGGACAAUAUAUUGAACCGCAUGGUUCAAUAGUGAAAGACGGUUUUGCUGUCACUUAUAGAUGGAUCCGCGCGGCAUUAGCUAGUUGGUAAGGUAACGGCUUACGAAGGCAACGAUGCGUAGCGGACCUGAGAGCGUGAUCCGCCACACUGGAACUAAGACACGUUCCAGACUCCUACGGAGUGCAGCAGUGUGGAAUCUUCCGCGAAAGGCGUAAGCCUGACGGAGCAACGCCGCGUGAGUGAUGAACUCCCUCGGUUCGUAAAACUCUUAUACUAGAGAAAAACAAUUGUGUACGUAACUCUCCACUUCGUGACGGUACCCCAUCAGAAAGCCACGGCUAACUACGUG